UCCCGACCAUCCCCUCCCGGGCUCCUUCCUCCUUCCGUACCCGUCGCCCACGCGCUAUGUCCCCGCCCCGGGUGUCCGGUCGCAAGAUUCAAACUCAAAGGAAUCGACGGGGACCCGCACAAGCGGUGGAUGAUGUGGAUUAAUUCUAUGCAACGCGAAAAACCUUACCUACCCUUGACAUGGUCGGAAUCCCUCUGAGAGGUGGGAUUGCUCCAUUGAGAACCGGCGCACAGGUGGUGCAUGGUUGUC
This 249-nucleotide ribosomal RNA is filed under the name uncultured Burkholderia sp. RNAcentral's name for it is "partial 16S ribosomal RNA". The stretch from base 70 to 249 matches the Rfam family "Bacterial small subunit ribosomal RNA", at positions 875 to 1053 of the family's 1533-position model. The record is from RNAcentral. Lineage: Bacteria; Pseudomonadati; Pseudomonadota; Betaproteobacteria; Burkholderiales; Burkholderiaceae.